Molecule: ribosomal RNA, 492 nt
Filed under: uncultured bacterium
Lineage: Bacteria
Description: partial 16S ribosomal RNA
Rfam family: Bacterial small subunit ribosomal RNA
Source: RNAcentral
AUUGAACGCUGGUGGCAUGCUUUACACAUGCAAGUCGAACGGUAACAGGCCUUCGGGUGCUGACGAGUGGCGAACGGGUGAGUAAUGCAUCGGAACGUACCCAGAGGUGGGGGAUAACGCAGCGAAAGCUGUGCUAAUACCGCAUGUGAUCUGAGGAUGAAAGCGGGGGACCGAGCAGCAAUGUUUGGCCUCGCGCCUUUGGAGCGGCCGAUGUCGGAUUAGCUAGUUGGUGGGGUAAAGGCCUACCAAGGCGACGAUCCGUAGCUGGUCUGAGAGGACGACCAGCCACACUUGGACUGAGACACGGCCCAGACUCCUACGGGAGGCAGCAGUGGGGAAUUUUGGACAAUGGGCGCAAGCCUGAUCCAGCAAUGCCGCGUGCGGGAAGAAGGCCUUCGGGUUGUAAACCGCUUUUGGCAGGAACGAAACGGUGUCCGCUAAUACCGGGCGCUAAUGACGGUACCUGCAGAAUAAGCACCGGCUAACUACGUG